RNAcentral lists this ribosomal RNA (490 nucleotides) under uncultured bacterium. RNAcentral's name for it is "partial 16S ribosomal RNA". It matches the Rfam family "Bacterial small subunit ribosomal RNA", at positions 28 to 507 of the family's 1533-position model. The record is from RNAcentral.
GAUGAACGCUAGCUACAGGCUUAACACAUGCAAGUCGAGGGGCAGCAUGGUCUUAGCUUGCUAAGGCCGAUGGCGACCGGCGCACGGGUGAGUAACACGUAUCCAACCUGCCGUCUACUCUUGGACAGCCUUCUGAAAGGAAGAUUAAUACAAGAUGGCAUCAUGAGUCCGCAUGUUCACAUGAUUAAAGGUAUUCCGGUAGACGAUGGGGAUGCGUUCCAUUAGAUAGUAGGCGGGGUAACGGCCCACCUAGUCUUCGAUGGAUAGGGGUUCUGAGAGGAAGGUCCCCCACAUUGGAACUGGGACACGGUCCAAACUCCUACGGGAGGCAGCAGUGAGGAAGAUUGGUCAAGGGGCGCAGGCCUGAACCAGCCAAGUAGCGUGAAGGAUGACUGCCCUAUGGGUUGUAAACUUCUUUUAUAAAGGAAUAAAGUCGGGUAUGUAUACCCGUUUGCAUGUACUUUAUGAAUAAGGAUCGGCUAACUCCGUG